GGACUGCGACAGGUUUAGCGGAGGCAGGUUUCUCCCCUGCCGGCCGUAGGCUCCGCGGCCCCCGCCCCACUGGCAGCGCUGCGGCACUCCCGGGCGCCCUCCCGCCGCCGGGAGCGCUGUGGGCCGCAGAGGGUCUGGUCGCUGACGCCCUGGCGGCCGCCGCGCGUCUGAAGGGAGCUGCUGGCGCGGCCCAGGCAGUCCCCGCCCGAGACCGCACCGCAGCCGCCAUGGCUACAAAAGACCCCACAGCUGUAGAGCGAGCAAACUUGUUAAACAUGGCUAAACUGAGCAUCAAAGGACUCAUUGAAUCUGCUCUAAGCUUUGGCCGCACUUUGGAUUCUGACUAUCCCCCCUUGCAGCAGUUCUUUGUUGUUAUGGAACAUUGUCUGAAACACGGUCUUAAAGUAAGAAAAUCAUUUUUGAGUUACAACAAAACUAUCUGGGGUCCUUUGGAACUAGUGGAGAAGCUGUACCCAGAAGCAGAGGAAAUAGGGGCUAGUGUCCGGGACUUACCUGGUCUUAAGACCCCUCUGGGUCGUGCAAGGGCAUGGCUUCGAUUAGCCCUCAUGCAAAAAAAAAUGGCUGAUUAUCUUCGUUGCUUAAUAAUUCAAAGGGAUCUCUUGAGUGAAUUCUAUGAGUAUCAUGCACUAAUGAUGGAAGAAGAAGGAGCAGUAAUUGUUGGGCUACUGGUUGGCCUGAAUGUGAUAGAUGCUAAUCUGUGUGUAAAGGGAGAGGAUUUAGACUCACAAGUUGGAGUGAUUGAUUUUUCCAUGUAUUUAAAGAAUGAAGAUGAUAUUGGAAAUAAAGAAAGGAAUGUUCAAAUUGCUGCCAUAUUAGACCAGAAGAAUUAUGUUGAAGAAUUAAAUAGACAACUGAACAGCACUGUCAGCAGUCUCCAUUCAAGAGUUGACUCAUUAGAAAAGUCAAAUACUAAGCUGAUUGAAGAGUUAGCAAUAGCAAAGAAUAAUAUCAUUAAACUCCAAGAAGAAAAUCAUCAAUUACGAAGUGAGAAUAAAUUGAUUUUAAUGAAAACACAGCAACACCUAGAGGUUACCAAAGUGGACGUGGAAACUGAGCUUCAAACAUAUAAGCAUUCUCGACAGGGUCUAGAUGAAAUGUACAAUGAAGCCAGAAGGCAGCUUCGAGAUGAAUCUCAGUUACGACAGGAUGUCGAGAGUGAGCUAGCCGUGCAAGUUAGUAUGAAGCAUGAGAUUGAACUCGCCAUGAAGUUGCUGGAGAAAGAUAUCCAUGAGAAACAAGAUACUCUGAUAGGCCUUAGACAACAACUAGAGGAAGUUAAAGCAAUUAACAUAGAGAUGUAUCAAAAGUUGCAGGGUUCUGAAGAUAGUUUGAAAGAAAAAAAUGAAAUAAUUGCUCGACUAGAAGACAAAACCAAUAAAAUUACUAUAGCCAUGAGGCAGCUGGAACAAAGUGACAACGAUUUGUUAACUCAAACUAGGACAAUUGCAAUGUCAUUGGUGAAAUGUGCCAGCAGUGACACUCAGGACCAGUACAAGCUGGUCAAAGAUAUAUCUUUCUGAAAACCACUUGUAUUUAAAUAGACUGAAAGAGAAUCAACAAUUUUAUAAUAUAUUACACAGAAAAGAAUUUAUGCUAUUAAGUCUUCUAAAGGGGUAUUAGGGACCCUGUACACUUCUUGAUCAGCUGCUAUGGUAACACACUGCCAUAAAGCAGAGUGGGUGCACUUGGAUUUCCAAAAACACAUCCCUCAAACCUUGUGCACAAGGGCUGAUUUUGAGUAUUGACCUUCAGAGGUCAGGAUUUUCAAAUGCAGUUUUAUCUUUUUAGCUACUUUUUGAUGAAAAAUAUAUAAAUUGUUUAAAAAUAAGUUAACCUUUGGUUUCACAAUGUGUUGGCACAGAUUUUUUUUUCCACCGUUGGUCCACGGUUUGCCUAAUGGCUCUUUUACUAAUUUUUAAAAUGUUUAAAAUAGUUUGUAACCCAGAUUGGCCAUCAUCUUGUGCUUCAGCACCUCAAGUUUCUAGUUCCCCUUAAUUGUUUUCUAUGAUAGCACAACUUCAAGGCCUACCUCACUCCUUUUUUUUUUUCUUUAGUUUCUAUAACAUUAGACAAAAGCUCCCUCUACCUUAAUAUUUCAAAUUUAGAUUUAAAGACAACUUGAAUGUUACUCUUUUCCUUGGAAGUGGCAUUCAUACCUCUGAAGUAUGUGAGGGUUGCCCCAUUGGUAUGGUUUUAAGGAAGAAAAGAAGAGGCUUUUUUGUUGUUGUUGUUGUUGUUAGCUGAAUGGAAGCUUAUCUUAGGAUUCCCUACAAGGAAUUAAUAUUACUUGAAUACUUGGGAGAUGUUUUCAUAUAAAAAUACUGAAGUUAAAUCUAAGAAAUCCUAGGUGACCAUAGGAGACAGGGAGUGGAGCUAAGCACAGGGAGAAGCAAUGACUUAAAAAUAAGAACAAAUGGAAAUCACAUUUUAGCAAGUUUUAAAAAUUCAAUGACAAAAUUCAAAGAAUAAAAAUAACCUCUAGAGAAUGUUGCCAACUGGUACUAAAUACUUUUAAAUCUUAAAAUGCACACACAUAUACAUACAGCUUUGGCAUAAUUUAGUAAAUGCAUAAUGAUCCUAUAGGGAGGACUAGGCUGUUAAUUUAAAGUAGUUGCAGGUCUUUGCUCUUGGCCUUGUUAGUGCACUUGAUUCCUGGCAUACACAUCCUAACAUAACAAUGGGGCUUCUUCACCUAGUAUAGACAUAAAUACUAUGCUUUUCAUGGUUUUGUAAAAAGGUAGUAACACACCUAUUAUACUUUGAAAUUUGAUUCAUUAUGCUCUAUAAAAGUGGUAAAGGCUGUAUUGCUUUGCAUUAUUAAUUAUGAACAAGAAAUAAAACAAAUUUGAAGAUAGUAUUCUGGGCAUAUUAUAUGUUAUAUUGAAAAGAAAUCACAAAACAAUUUCUAGACAUUGUGUGGCUCUUUCACGUUUGAGUUUGUGAGUUUUCCCCCAAACUUUGUUUUCAUUUAGAAAUGUUUCUAUUUCCCCAUUUUUCUUUUAUUUGUCUUCUUCACCCUUUUACACCCUAGUUCUAGCCUCAGUUUUACCCAAAGUUGAUUUGAAUUACACCAGAUUGCAGCAAGCAGAGAAGGCGCAAAUGGAAGCUGAAGAUGAGGACAAGAAGUAUCUACAAGAAUGUCAGAGUAAAUCCGACAGUCUGCAGAAACAAAUCUCUCAAAAGGAGAAACAGCUGGUGCAACUGGAAACUGAUUUGAAGAUCGAGAAGGAAUGGAGGCAGACUUUGCAGGAAGAUCUUCAAAAGGAGAAAGAUGCCUUAGCUCAUCUUAGAAAUGAGACCCAACAAAUCAUUAGUCUUAAAAAAGAGUUCCUUGACCUCCAGGAUGAAAAUCAGCAGUUGAAAAAAGUGUAUCAUGAACAGGAGCAGGCUCUUCAAGAACUUGGCAACAAACUUAGCGAGUCAAAACUUAAAAUAGAAGAUAUAAAAGAAGCCAACAAAGCGUUGCAGGGACUGGUAUGGUUGAAAGACAAAGAAGCAACACAUUGUAAGCUUUGUGAAAAGGAAUUCUCACUCUCUAAGAGAAAGCACCACUGUAGAAACUGUGGAGAAAUUUUCUGUAAUGCUUGCUCUGACAAUGAACUGCCUUUGCCCUCUUCACCAAAGCCAGUACGGGUUUGUGAUUCCUGUCAUGCACUGCUGAUUCAGAGAUGCUCAUCUAAUUUGCCGUAAGACUCCAGAACUAAAUCUUCCUUGUAUGCAAGUACCUAUGGUGAAUGUUAUGUGUGAAUAUGUGCACAUAUUCGGACAGCUCUUCUGAAGCGACUUUCGGACAGUACUGGUACCAGUUCUGUUCCACAUUUCAAUUCAUGGGAAUUAAGUUGUAUAAUUUGGUAUUUCCUUUCCACUAUUAUUCAAAAAGAAUUUUCAACAGGGCAUGUUUUGAAAACUUUAACCUAACUCCAAAUUCAUGUAAUUAUAAUGUAACUCUCAAUGACACUGAAAGGCCAGAUAGCAUAGCUAACACUUAUCUGCCUUACUUUAUAAAGGCCUUCUUAAAAAUAGGGCUUCAGAUUGUUUUAUUCUCCAGAUGGUUGAGUUUAUAUUUGAUGGUGCCUGUAAGUUUUAUUAAUGCACUUUAAAGCUUCAUGGGUCUCAUAGAAAGACUGGAAAUGUGCAGAACUUUUUACAAGUGUUAAGAUUCCAAUUCAACAUAUUUCCCAUUAAGUUAGUAAGAUGUCAUCUAUAUUUAUUUGGCCCUUUCCCCCUCCCUUCUUUUGCCUACUUUGCAUUAGAAAAAGCCAAUGUUUUAUCCUGUAAAAUUUCUUUUGGUUUUCUUCCUCUAAAAUCAAUGUUGUAGUUGCUGAUACCUUUCAGAUACAGUGGGUUAAAGAGGUUACUUUGCCUCAACCUUUUCCUUAUUUUGAAAGGAGGUUAAACCAUCAUCCUUUUACCUUAAGCUGCUACUUGCAGAUCUAGUAAGUUUUAAGCAUUACAUUGCAGCCGUCUGCUACUGCAGUAUAGAGUAAAAAAUUCACCAUAAACUGAGCACCUCUAAGCUAGGGUCAGUUAGUGAAAAUGUGGUCACCCUGCCAUGAAAUAUGUACUUGAACCAUUUCAAGCAUGAGACUAAAUAAACACUAACCUUGUUAUAUUACUUAUAGCAUACCAAGAAUCUGUCAAGUUACCUUUGUAUAGUCACUUGAAUGACACCACUACUAGGGAACCUACAUUAAAAAAAAAUUAGUUUAAUACCAGCCAUGCACUUUAUGACUGUGUACCUUUCAAACAAUGUCCUGUUAGGAUAACCUUACAUUAUUCCUAAAAGCAUUAUAUUUAGUGAAUUUAAUCAUGGCCAGCUCCCUAGGAUGGGGGAUAUCCUGCAGGAUCCUUUCCUCAAGAGUACAUACUUUCAUUAAGCUUAAAAAUUAUUUUUCUAAAUUCCCAGAGUAUGAAAUUAGUAUUUUACUUGAAGAUUUUUUCUUCACAAUCCAGGUUGAGGUCUUCAGUUAGAAAUGAGAUUUUUAGGUGGUCUUUCUUGAAUACUCUGAUAGAAAUGUCCCGAAGAGAUAAAUUAUAUUCUUGAAAAGUUUUGUAUUGAUGGGAUGAACAUUUUUAUGAUUGCUGAAAAUGAGAU
This is an RNA transcript of Phyllostomus discolor (pale spear-nosed bat), 5116 nucleotides long. It is a transcript of the gene named RUN and FYVE domain containing 2, with no coding region annotated. The record is from RefSeq and is a predicted model, not a curated record. Lineage: Eukaryota; Metazoa; Chordata; Mammalia; Chiroptera; Phyllostomidae. The transcript has 18 exons.